AACGAACGCUGGCGGCAUGCCUAACACAUGCAAGUCGAACGAGACCUUCGGGUCUAGUGGCGCACGGGUGCGUAACGCGUGGGAAUCUGCCCUUGGGUACGGAACAACAGUUAGAAAUGACUGCUAAUACCGUAUGAUGUCUUCGGACUAAAGAUUUAUCGCCCAGGGAUGAGCCCGCGUAGGAUUAGCUAGUUGGUGAGGUAAAGGCUCACCAAGGCGACGAUCCUUAGCUGGUCUGAGAGGAUGAUCAGCCACACUGGGACUGAGACACGGCCCAGACUCCUACGGGAGGCAGCAGUGGGGAAUAUUGGACAAUGGGCGAAAGCCUGAUCCAGCAAUGCCGCGUGAGUGAUGAAGGCCCUAGGGUUGUAAAGCUCUUUUACCCGGGAUGAUAAUGACAGUACCGGGAGAAUAAGCCCCGGCUAACUCCGUGCCAGCAGCCGCCGCUG
RNAcentral lists this ribosomal RNA (449 nucleotides) under uncultured bacterium. Its description in RNAcentral is "partial 16S ribosomal RNA". It matches the Rfam family "Bacterial small subunit ribosomal RNA", at positions 29 to 523 of the family's 1533-position model. The record is from RNAcentral.